This 537-nucleotide ribosomal RNA is filed under the name Triticum aestivum (bread wheat). Its description in RNAcentral is "partial small subunit ribosomal RNA". The record is from RNAcentral. Lineage: Eukaryota; Viridiplantae; Streptophyta; Magnoliopsida; Poales; Poaceae.
AUGGCGCGGCUCUCCGUGACCACCACUGCCCUCCUCCUCGCCGCCGUCGCCUUCUUCAUCGCCGCCGAGGCCGCCGUCACCAAGGACUUCACCUUCGCCCGGGGCAUAAAGCUGCACAUCUCGAAGCAGGGCACGGCGACCGACCACAUCUUCGCCGGGGGCAGCAAGCUCUUCGUCGCGAGGCACGACGCGGCGCCGGCCGACCACGCCUCCGCCCGGGGCAGCAAGCUCGACGUGACGUUCGACGCGGCCAAGGCGGCGUCCGGGGCGGGCAACCCGAUGGCGUCCAUCCUGGGGUCGUGCGAGCAGAACUACGACGACCUGGUGGACGCGCUGGAGGAGGUGAGCCGGGCGAUGCACAAGCCCGGCACCAGCAGCGAGAGCCUGGUGGAGAAGAUGACGGCGGCCAGCACCUACGCCGGCGACUGCGACAACUGGUACGAGGAGCGCGACGUCAAGUCGCCCUACGAGGUCAUGCAGCGCCACCUCGCCCAGAUGGUCUCCGUCGCCCUCGGCCUCGCCAACAAGAAGCUCUGA